Molecule: ribosomal RNA, 420 nt
Filed under: uncultured bacterium
Lineage: Bacteria
Description: bacterial SSU rRNA
Rfam family: Bacterial small subunit ribosomal RNA
Source: RNAcentral
UAAGGAAUAUUGCUCAAUGGGAGAAAUCCUGAAGCAGCAACGCCGCGUGGAGGAUGAAGGGUCUAUGACUUGUAAACUCCUGUAAAGAAGGAAAAAAUUCCCAUUAGAUGGGAGAUGAUGGUACUUCUGGAGUAAGCCCCGGCUAACUACGUGCCAGCAGCCGCGGUAAUACGUAGGGGGCAAGCGUUGUCCGGAUUUACUGGGUGUAAAGGGCGCGCAGGUGGGCUUAUAAGUCAGUGGUGAAAUCUCCGAGCUUAACUUGGAAACUGCCGUUGAUACUAUAGGUCUUGAAUUAUCUGGAGGUAAGCGGAAUAUGUCAUGUAGCGGUGAAAUGCUUAGAUAUGACAUAGAACACCAAUUGCGAAGGCAGCUUACUACAUAUAAAUUGACGCUGAGGCACGAAAGCGUGGGGAUCAAACA